Long non-coding RNA from Gigantopelta aegis, 1463 nucleotides. RefSeq lists it as uncharacterized. The transcript is spliced from 5 exons. NCBI's taxonomy places the organism in Eukaryota, Metazoa, Mollusca, Gastropoda, Neomphalida, Peltospiridae. The record is from RefSeq and is a predicted model, not a curated record.
GACACUGUCCAUCCUGGCAUCAUGUUUUCGACAAAUUUAGAAUUUUUUACAUAUUUUCUGUGAUUUUCGGACAGAUGUCGGGUGUCUAGUAACAUUUGGGGUUUUAUCUCGCUAUUGUUUUUGUUGUACAUCUCCAGAGCUCCUUUAAAUCCCUUGGCAUCUGGGUCCGUUGUCAUGUAUUGUACUUCGAGAGAAUCAUUUUUUAAUUGUGCCAAACAGUCCUUAGCCCAUUUUGUCUCAUCUCCAAUAGACAUUGACAUGGGGAUGUUACGAGAGCAUGUUGGGUCUUGCAGGCAUGUUUCAGAAGUACUAAUGUUGUGAUGUUUAGAGCAUAAUUUGUUUUUGGUAGAAAUUGCUAACACCUGCUUUUUGUGUGUGUUGUGUUCGACUGCUGUAUACACGACCUGGGUCGCAGGUUGAUAAGGUGUUUUACCAACCCCUGAGUACAGUGGAUUGUUGUACAUGCCAUUGCAUUGUAGGUUGACAGUGUUAGGUUUGGAGCCCCUUAAUUUGUUUAUGUCCCUUAGUGUCUCUCUCCUGGCUUUCAUGUCUGCAGUGUUUGAUGUUACUAUGUUUUUACAAACUUUGUUUGCAGUUCUUUGGCAUCCACUGGCUGAUGGUGCAGGGAUAUUCAUGCACAAACACAAUAGACGGAAGUUUUCGGCACCUAUGGGCAUUUUUGUGAGCCCAACCUGAACUGUCACAUUUGGCUGAGCUGCCCUCCGCCCCCUGGAUCUUACUUCAGUUUUCUCCACUUCGUCAUACAAGUUGCUGAGUUCGCAGUGUUUCAACUUUAGAGAGAUCUGCAACAACUUUACUGCCGGCAGAAAACGUACAGCCCAUGUCUUUUGAAAGUAAGAGUAAAGAUUCUGCAGGCCCAUUGUUAAUGGUAUGGACUGCACUGUGGGCCCUAGCUGCGAAAUUCCUGCUGAAGGUGGUGUGUCUGGUUCUUUGGCAUCCACUGGCUGAUGGUGCAGGGAUAUUCAUGCACAAACACAAUAGACGGAAGUUUUCGGCACCUAUGGGCAUUUUUGUGAGCCCAACCUGAACUGUCACAUUUGGCUGAGCUGCCCUCCGCCCCCUGGAUCUUACUUCAGUUUUCUCCACUUCGUCAUACAAGUUGCUGAGUUCGCAGUGUUUCAACUUUAGAGAGAUCUGCAACAACUUUACUGCCGGCAGAAAACGUACAGCCCAUGUCUUUUGAAAGUAAGAGUAAAGAUUCUGCAGGCCCAUUGUUAAUGGUAUGGACUGCACUGUGGGCCCUAGCUGCGAAAUUCCUGCUGAAGGUGGUGUGUCUGGUUCUUUGGCAUCCACUGGCUGAUGGUGCAGGGAUAUUCAUGCACAAACACAAUAGACGGAAGUUUUCGGCACCUAUGGGCAUUUUUGUGAGCCCAACCUGAACUGUCACAUUUGGCUGAGCUGCCCUCCGCCCCCUGGAUCUUACUUCAGUUUUCUCCACUUCG